Molecule: long non-coding RNA, 2501 nt
Organism: Zonotrichia albicollis (white-throated sparrow)
Lineage: Eukaryota; Metazoa; Chordata; Aves; Passeriformes; Passerellidae
Source: RefSeq, a predicted model, not a curated record
UUCAGAACAACCCAUUUGUCCCAGUGAGCAGCACAAGCAUCGAAUUCCCCUCAAUGAGAAUUAAAUGCUUUCAAAGUGUUCACAUCUGACUGCAUGUGCAUGACAGCUCAGUCCUCCCAAAGCAGGCAAGUUCAGCUUGUGACCGUAGGCCACAAACUGCCUGUCAGGAGAUUCCAGGCUGUUCCUUGCUCUCUUUUUGAAAAGGCUGAGAGCAAAGCAUGGGCUGAAUGGAUUUUCCUCAAACGAGGAACAGCUCCUCUAUUCACUGCUUGCCCAGUCUGCCUCUGGACUACCCCCAUGCACUAACACACUAGUUCCUGCCCACAGCUCAAGAGAGAACAGGAGGCUGUCUGAAACCUAAGCCUUAAAAUGCUCUUAUAAGAUAGCAAGCCAACACACACAUAGGGAAUCCACAUCUGAGAAAAGGGGAGCAGUAAAAGAAAGUCAAAAAAGUAAUACAAAUCCACCCUAGCAGAAAGGGGGCCGCAUAAUAAUAAGUUAUAUGGAAUUACAUAAAGGUAUUAUAACCACAGCAUUUUUUAAAAAUUCUAGCAGAAAAACAAAUCCAAGAGCCAGUGAAAUAACUUUGACCUAGAGAAUUUGACAGUCCUCCCUUGGUGUCAUGUGAACUGACUCCUUACUACUACAGACAGCAAGAACCAGAAGAAGUAUUUCAUAGCUCUAAAAUUAUUCAUUUCUAAGAAACUUUUGUUAGACCCUUAUGCACGAGCACACUCUGACAGUAUUCACAUCAGCUGAAGGUUUCUGUGAACAGGGGAAGACUGAGAGACCACAUACAGACCUUGGUCUUCACACGUGCUGCAGUCCUCAUUAGAGCAGCCUCUAGUAUUUUACAAAAACAAAACUUCUCCAUCACAUCUACAAAUGUGAAUCAGAUGACCAUGAAAGACUUCCCAUUUUAUCACCAUCCCACUUACAACAGAAACAGGACUUUUCAGAAUGUACCAAGUGUUGGAAUGAGACUCCAGAGCCAGCUGCACAAGCAUCCCUCAGACUUCUGGAGUGCUGGCCUGUAAUGAGCUGAUUUUAAUCAGUGCCUCUGUGGUGCCACCAAUAAUGUCUCAGGACUGAGAGGAAAAAGGAAAACACUGUUUUUUCAUGCUGCUUCUGCAUGAUCUUCCCUACAGUCUGUCUCACCUUCUUUUGCCUCUAGUCAAAACCCAACUAUUCUUAUCAUGGCAGUAGUGAGCCCAUGUAGACAUUCAGUGAAAUUCUGUCUUUAGGUAAAACAGUUCUUACUUUUCUAUUCAGAAUCAUUCCUAAUCAAACCCUCUUUUGCUAGGUAUAACCAAUUUCCUCCAAAUCAAACAUAAUCAACCCUUUUCCUGUGAUAAGAUGUAGCUGUAAUAGCCCACCCCAAGGUUAAGUCCUCCCUCCCCAGUAUUUUACAAAAGCACCUCUUUGACCUGACCCAACACAAAUCAAAACUAAUGUCUUUCCCAUGGUCCAAAACAACUUCUCCCCAAAAUAAACUCUCCUCUUGACAUUAAAAGGAAAUGACCCCUGCAAAUUCAGGAAGUCAUGGUGCAGCAGAGUGAUUGUAGUCCUAAAGACACUUUAACCUUUUCAUUUACUGCAAGCAUCAUCCUUCUCCCUGUCGUCAACCCAUAAUGUAAAAGGUGAAGUGUGGACUAAGAGGGAUGGAGCAGAAAAUGUUGGCAGGCUGGAGAUUGUUACCUUCUGGUCCAGCACAGGCACACAGGAUCCAGCUGAGGCUUGAAAGCUGUUCAGAGCAGGCAAAGGGGGGAAAGGGUAUUGGGGGUUAUCACUACCACUGGUACAUUCCCCAAGCAAAUAUUGAUGUGAUAAUGUAAGUAAAAGGCAUUUUAUUUAAAGUCCAAAGUAAUAUGCCUGUGAAACAUGGUCGCAAAUGAUAUCAUUGAGGCCAAGUGCUUAGCAGGAUUCAGUAAAAGGUUAUACAUACAUAUUCAUACAUUUGUGCGGGGAAUUAGAUUGGACCUGAUAAAAAUUCAUAAUGGAUAUAAAUGUUCACAGUUCAGGGCAUAAAUCAGCCACCAGCCUGAGGUUAGAAAAUAACUUCCCCUAGAGUCAGGCUGUUACAUAAUUAUCAAUUAUACUUGCAGAGGGGGAAAGGAGGUUGAAGAAUAGGCCAAUUUCCUCAGAGACAUCUGGGAAUUACUAUUGGCAGACAACUAAUUUAGAUUUUAUCUGGUAUGGAAGUUCUUAUUACAUCAAAUAAUGUAAUUUAGAAUUAAAGCAUGUGAUUUAUUUUGUAUUUUUUAUUCUUCAUGUAAUCAAGUUCUUGCCUAAGGGCAGGCCUUUCCAUUACAAGCCAGCUGAAGUUAGUGAAAUUCACUGUGCUGUGUUUUCUCACCAAAUCUCUUUAAAAACAGCUUCAUAUUUUGCAAGGAAAUCAGGCAGAGUCACAGCAAUUUAGUUUAUCAAAACUAGCCAACUAAUACAGCCAACUUAGUGUCUAUAUUAGCAGAGAAAAAGUUACCUGUGUGAACUGCAGCAAA